UAUGGCCACAUGCAACCAUGCGUGCACCCAGAUCUCGUCUGAUCUCGGAAGCCGGGCAGGGUUGGGGCUGGUCAGUACUUGGGUGGGAAAAAUGGAGCCAACUCAUCUCCCACCUGGGAAAAGGGGCCAUGA
This 132-nucleotide ribosomal RNA is filed under the name Prolemur simus (greater bamboo lemur). Lineage: Eukaryota; Metazoa; Chordata; Mammalia; Primates; Lemuridae. The record is from RNAcentral.